UCAAUUGAUUAGUUUCCUUCAGCCUAAUUUGCAGCCAUCUUAGCCAAGCCUUCAUAUUUCUUCCCUUUUCAACCUGGUCCCUCAUUUUCCAACUGGAGAAGUCUCUUCUCAAUCGCCUAGGCAACGGAGACAAGAGCUAGGACGCUGUCGCACGGCCUAGCUUCUGUCAGAGAAGUGGAAGAGCUUUCUUGUAUGCCUUACUAUGAAGAAAUGGCGAAUGGGAGAAAGUAGGUGAUAACUGCACAACUACGUAGUGACAGAUUUGGGACUGAAGCCAAGUUUCCUGCUUCAUUAUUCCAGUGUGCUUUCUUCUGCAUUGAGACCAACCACAGAACCUAGAAGAGUAGAACGGAAAUUUCUCCUCCCCUGCAGUAUUGUUGGGCCUGUUGACCUCACUGUCACAACCUCAUCGAGUAUGACAUUCAAAAGAGCGAAGGAGCUAAGGAAGGGAAAGCUUACUUCACUCACCAAAGAUUGCAGAGCUAAAAAGGGAUGGUGCCAAUCCCCCUGGUACAUAGUUGUAUAUUCUUCGUUGUGGGUCCUUUUGUUGUGUCAUGUGGGACGCCGCCUCAGCGUGGUUCGACGAGCAGUGCCAUGUCCGUGCCCAGGAUUCGAACCAACGAAACACUGGGCCGCCUGCAGUGGAGCGCGCAAACUCAACCAUUCGGCCAUGGGGCCAACCCCGGUGCCAGUGUACCAGAAGCACAAGAAAGAUGAUCAGAGAAUUAAGAAAAAGAAGAAAAUACCGAAUGAGAUUAAGAAGGAAAAUUUGGGACAAAACCUGGAGGUGUCCUUCACACCAACACCCCCCUCAUCCAAUGUAUCACAGUGGACUAUAUAUCUAUUUAACCCCAAAAGGUGUCUUGAACUGAUCGAUUUUCUCCCACGCUUUUACUGCCUUCUUGCUUUAGUCUAAUCCGUCAUCAUCUCUCCAUGUAUAUCUGGAAGAACUUCCUAAUUGCUCUCCCUCCUUUUACUUUUAUCCCCCUGCAAUCCAUUCCGCACACCAGUAAUUGCAGUGAUUUAUUUAAAAUGCAAAUAGGAUCAUGUAGUUUCCUUACUUAUCAUCUUUCAAGGGCUCCUUACUGCACUUAGGAUAAAAUAUAGACCCAUAACCUUGCCUUUGGGGCUCUGCAGAUUGCUGCCCCUGCCUCUACCGCCAGCCUCAUCUUGCACCAUCUCUUGUUCCUCACAGCCAGCAGGCACUACUGCCCUCCUUUCAACCGCAAGCACAGUAGCACUGAGCUCUUCACUGAAUCAGGACUGCUACUCACGCUGUUAUUCUGCCUGGAAUGCUUUUUACUCAACUUGUCCUUCAGGUUUAUUAUGCUGAUGUACAUACCUUGGCGGCUGAAUGUCUGGGGGCCAGAUGAUUGAAAGAGCACAAUAUGAGAACUAAGAUUCUAGAGGCUGGAAUGUGCAUGUCAUUUUGAUUGUAUGUGAUGUAUACCUGUACAUAUGGGAUGGCAUCCCCUUGAGUUUUAGAACAGUACUGAUUUCAUGUCACUUCAUUUUUUUAAAGAAAGUUAGUUCUCUAAAUGCAAAAUCACCUGUGAUUUAAAUUUCCUGCUUUCUGAACUCAUUCAGUAUAUAACAAUUCACAUAUCAGUUUUUUAAAAAGGUAAAAAAGCUCUUAUCCUACCCUGGGCUUCCAUUUUUGUUUCAGAACGUGGACAUGUUGUUUGUGCCAACAAAAGGGAAUUCAAGGAGCCAGAUUAGAAAGGUCAUUAAGAACAGACUAGAGCAAGAAGCUCAGUUUCCAGCCCUCCACUGGAGUGAGGUCUAGUCUCCAGACAGAGAGAGAGAGAAGAAAGAAGGAGGACGAGGGAGAAGGAGUGGGCAUAACAGGCAAGUUCACUAGCAGAAAUAAUGUGCCUUGGAGGAGAGCAGCCUUCGAAUGUCUGAUAAGAGGUGACCGCUUAUUAGCUGUUUGAUCCUAGACAUGUCAGUUAAUCUUUCUGGAUCUCAGUUCCUUUUCCUUGUAGAUGAAAGGACGAAACCCCAUUAGAAAUACUUGCCUGCUCUAUGAUCCUUUGAUUCUUGUUUUCUCUAUAAUGGUGGAAGCACGAGAAAGAGUAUAUCUGAGCAAAAGGGAUAGGAAAAAGAUGAUUAAUUGUGACAGAAUAGAAAGACGAAGAAGAAAGGCAUGGAUGGUAGCUAUGAAGGGAAAGUAUAUGAGAAAAUAAAGAUUCAGAUCUUUUUCCUUGCCCAGCUUAUUUAUUUAACAGAUAUUUAUUAGUACUUAACGUAGCAUUGACGAUGUGCCAGCUAUUGUUCUAAGGGCUUUACAAAAGUGAACUCAUUUGAUACUUGGGAGGUAAGUACUGCUGUUAGAUCUUAUAGCUGAGGAAACUGAGGCACUGAGAGGUCAAGAAACCUAACCCAAGUCAUAUAACUAGUAAGGGCCACGUCACACCCAGGCAGUCUGGCUCCAGGGUCCAGGCUGUUAUAAUGCUUAUUUUCCUGUUAGAAUUUACCAUGCAUUUUCCUCAAUGAAAAUCUCUACAUCAAAGACGAAAACUUAUUGAACUGUAACAAAAAUAAUAAAUCACUCCAGACGUAUUUAGGCUAACACAUACCCUAUUUGUUUCUGUGUAAUUACACUUUCUCAAGAGCCUGCCACAUUUGGCAUCACUGUUUUCUUACGAACUCUUCAAGCAAGACUAAUGCAAAAUGGAGAGGAUUGUUCUUUGUUCAGCUGCAAACCAGGUGGCACAAAGCACAGAGAAGAAAGCCAGGCUCCGGAGAACGUGUGAAGGGAACCAACCGACAAAUGAAAACUCACGCAGAGCUUGCCUUUAAUCAGGAAACAUUUUCAUUCAAACGCUUGCAAACUUUAAAAAUUUUUAAGUUUAUAUUCUAUAAUCUUUCUACCACUCUAUUGGAAAAAAAAGCUCCAAAAAGGAAGAUUAUUAAAAUAAAACAAAAUAGUUUGGUUUUGUCAUUUGGAAACAUUUCAAGCUCAAGAUCUAUGUUGAUC
Molecule: long non-coding RNA, 2980 nt
Organism: Equus asinus (donkey)
Lineage: Eukaryota; Metazoa; Chordata; Mammalia; Perissodactyla; Equidae
Source: Ensembl